RNAcentral lists this transfer RNA (73 nucleotides) under Megalops atlanticus (tarpon). RNAcentral describes it as "tRNA-OTHER". Lineage: Eukaryota; Metazoa; Chordata; Actinopteri; Elopiformes; Megalopidae. The record is from RNAcentral.
UGCAGCAUGGCACAGUGGUAAGGAGUAGGACUCAUAACCGAAAGGUUGCCGGUUCGAUUCCCUGCUGGGGCAC